GGAUGCCUUGGCAGUCAGAGGCGAUGAAGGACGUAUUAACUUGCGAUAAGCCCAGAUUAGGUAGUAAAAACCACUUGAGUCUGGGAUUUCCGAAUGGGGAAACCCACUAGCAUAAGCUAGUAUCGCUGCGUGAAUACAUAGCGCAGCGAGGCGAACCGGGGGAACUGAAACAUCUAAGUACCCCGAGGAAAAGAAAUCAACCGAGAUUCCGAAAGUAGCGGCGAGCGAAAUUGGACUAGCCCUUAAGCUUUUUAUGCGUCAGGUGAAACUUCUGGAAAGUUGUGCGAUACAGGGUGAUAGCCCCGUAACCGGCAACGCAUUUAAAGUGAAAUCGAGUAGGGCGGGACACGUGAUAUCCUGUCUGAAUAUGGGGGGACCAUCCUCCAAGGCUAAAUACUACUGACUGACCGAUAGUG
Molecule: ribosomal RNA, 416 nt
Filed under: Vibrio harveyi
Lineage: Bacteria; Pseudomonadati; Pseudomonadota; Gammaproteobacteria; Vibrionales; Vibrionaceae
Description: bacterial LSU rRNA
Rfam family: Bacterial large subunit ribosomal RNA
Source: RNAcentral